RNAcentral lists this ribosomal RNA (497 nucleotides) under uncultured bacterium. RNAcentral's name for it is "partial 16S ribosomal RNA". It matches the Rfam family "Bacterial small subunit ribosomal RNA", at positions 28 to 507 of the family's 1533-position model. The record is from RNAcentral.
GAUGAACGCUGGCGGCGUGCCUAAUACAUGCAAGUCGAGCGAACGGACGAGAAGCUUGCUUCUCUGAUGUUAGCGGCGGACGGGUGAGUAACACGUGGAUAACCUACCUAUAAGACUGGGAUAACUUCGGGAAACCGGAGCUAAUACCGGAUAAUAUUUUGAACCGCAUGGUUCAAAAGUGAAAGACGGUCUUGCUGUCACUUAUAGAUGGAUCCGCGCUGCAUUAGCUAGUUGGGAAGGUAACGGCUUACCAAGGCAACGAUGCAUAGCCGACCUGAGAGGGUGAUCGGCCACACGGGAGCUGAGACACGGUCCAGACUCCUACGGGAGGCAGCAGUAGGGAAUCUUCCGCAAUGGGCGAAAGCCUGACGGAGCAACGCCGCGUGAGUGAUGAAGGUCUUCGGAGCGGAAAACUCUGUUAUUAGGGAAGAACAUAUGUGUAAGUAACUGUGCACAGCGUGACGGUACCUAAUCAGAAAGCCACGGCUAACUACGUG